This 253-nucleotide ribosomal RNA is filed under the name uncultured bacterium. Its description in RNAcentral is "partial 16S ribosomal RNA". It matches the Rfam family "Bacterial small subunit ribosomal RNA", at positions 524 to 776 of the family's 1533-position model. The record is from RNAcentral.
UACGUAGGCAGCAAGCGUUGUUCGGAAUUACUGGGCGUAAAGGGUGCGUAGGCGGCUUUUUAAGUUUGGUGUGAAAUCUCCCGGCUCAACUGGGAGGGUGCGCCGAAAACUGGAGGGCUAGAGUACUGGAUGGGAGAGUGGAAUUCCUGGUGUAGCGGUGAAAUGCGUAGAUAUCAGGAGGAACACCUGUGGUGUAGACGGCUCUCUGGACAGUAACUGACGCUGAGACACGAAAGCGUGGGUAGCAAACAGG